AACCCUCAAAAACCCUCUUCUUUGAGGAUUUUUGGACUUGGAGGUUUGAUGCUCGCUUUCACGUUCGAAAGCAAGCUCCUCUCAAAAGAAUCAGUGGGGUCUGCUUUGCCGGUCCUCGACGUGAUAAAAUGUUUCUACGUUUCGGAUCUGGCAUCGUCCCCUUGGGGAUGCCCCUGCUCCUAACCGUCUCGGUCACCGCCAUCUUAACGGUUGGCGGGGAAGGCCGUGGACACCCACAAAAGAAAA
Molecule: unclassified non-coding RNA, 246 nt
Filed under: uncultured Russula
Lineage: Eukaryota; Fungi; Basidiomycota; Agaricomycetes; Russulales; Russulaceae
Description: sequence contains ITS2
Source: RNAcentral